This 484-nucleotide ribosomal RNA is filed under the name uncultured bacterium. RNAcentral's name for it is "partial 16S ribosomal RNA". It matches the Rfam family "Bacterial small subunit ribosomal RNA", at positions 28 to 507 of the family's 1533-position model. The record is from RNAcentral.
AUUGAACGCUGGCGGCAUGCUUUACACAUGCAAGUCGAACGGCAGCGCGGGCUUCGGCCUGGCGGCGAGUGGCGAACGGGUGAGUAAUGCAUCGGAACGUGCCCAGUAGUGGGGGAUAGCCCGGCGAAAGCCGGAUUAAUACCGCAUACGACCUGAGGGUGAAAGCGGGGGGCCGAAAGGCCUCGCGCUAUUGGAGUGGCCGAUGUCGGAUUAGCUAGUUGGUGGGGUAAAGGCUUACCAAGGCGACGAUCCGUAGCUGGUCUGAGAGGACGACCAGCCACACUGGGACUGAGACACGGCCCAGACUCCUACGGGAGGCAGCAGUGGGGAAUUUUGGACAAUGGGGGCAACCCUGAUCCAGCCAUGCCGCGUGCGGGAAGAAGGCCUUCGGGUUGUAAACCGCUUUUGUUCGGGAAGAAAUCCUCUGGGCUAAUACCCCGGGGGGAUGACGGUACCGGAAGAAUAAGCACCGGCUAACUACGUG